This 99-nucleotide transfer RNA is filed under the name Pseudomonas fluorescens. RNAcentral describes it as "tRNA-Gln". The record is from RNAcentral. Lineage: Bacteria; Pseudomonadati; Pseudomonadota; Gammaproteobacteria; Pseudomonadales; Pseudomonadaceae.
GUGGUCCAAGGUUUUGGCCGCGAAGCCGGUGAGGCUUUGGCCACCAGCAAACGUAUCUCCAAGAUUGCGUUCACCGGUUCCACCCCGGUGGGAUCGCAC